RNAcentral lists this non-coding RNA (158 nucleotides) under Pseudovibrio axinellae. RNAcentral describes it as "Pseudovibrio sp. Ad2 6S / SsrS RNA". It matches the Rfam family "6S / SsrS RNA". From Rfam's summary of the family: E. coli 6S RNA was the first non coding RNA to be sequenced, but its function was unknown until recently. It consists of 184 nucleotides that fold into an extended hairpin structure with a large single-stranded internal bulge. The record is from Rfam by way of RNAcentral. Lineage: Bacteria; Pseudomonadati; Pseudomonadota; Alphaproteobacteria; Hyphomicrobiales; Stappiaceae.
GCGUCGCUGCGCGGUUCGUGAGGAGUGUCACAUCCCCGGGCCUUACGUUUUCCUUUGGGAGCUGUACCUGUCCUCGCUCGUGGGCUUGGGCACACGGCGCCCACCUACAUAGUAGGUUUCCGGGAUUACAUACACUCUGACGGCCGAGGCGGCACGCA